GCCUCCCUCCGCCGCCGACUACACGACGUACCUACCGGGAGGGCGAGGCAAGUGGGGAAUCCUGCACAAUGGACGAAAGUCUGAUGCAGCAACGCCGCGUGGGGAUGAAGCUUUUCGGAGUGUAAACCCCUUUCGACCCGGAAGAAUGCCCGCAAGGGUUUGACGGUACGGGUAUAAGAAGCCCCGGCUAACUACGUGCCAGCCGCCGCGGUAAUUC
RNAcentral lists this ribosomal RNA (217 nucleotides) under uncultured bacterium. RNAcentral's name for it is "partial 16S ribosomal RNA". It matches the Rfam family "Bacterial small subunit ribosomal RNA", at positions 305 to 526 of the family's 1533-position model. The record is from RNAcentral.